This 83-nucleotide transfer RNA is filed under the name Leptospirillum ferrooxidans C2-3. It matches the Rfam family "tRNA". From Rfam's summary of the family: Transfer RNA (tRNA) molecules are approximately 80 nucleotides in length. Their secondary structure includes four short double-helical elements and three loops (D, anti-codon, and T loops). Further hydrogen bonds mediate the characteristic L-shaped molecular structure. tRNAs have two regions of fundamental functional importance: the anti-codon, which is responsible for specific mRNA codon recognition, and the 3' end, to which the tRNAs corresponding amino acid is attached (by aminoacyl-tRNA synthetases). tRNAs cope with the degeneracy of the genetic code in two manners: having more than one tRNA (with a specific anti-codon) for a particular amino acid; and 'wobble' base-pairing, i.e. permitting non-standard base-pairing at the 3rd anti-codon position. The record is from Rfam by way of RNAcentral. Lineage: Bacteria; Pseudomonadati; Nitrospirota; Nitrospiria; Nitrospirales; Nitrospiraceae.
GCCGAAGUGGUGAAAUGGUAGACACGCUAGGUUCAGGGUCUAGUGGGGGCAACCCCGUGCGGGUUCGAGUCCCGCCUUCGGCA